Molecule: ribosomal RNA, 492 nt
Filed under: uncultured bacterium
Lineage: Bacteria
Description: partial 16S ribosomal RNA
Rfam family: Bacterial small subunit ribosomal RNA
Source: RNAcentral
AGUGAACGCUGGCGGUAGGCCUAACACAUGCAAGUCGAACGGCAGCACAGUAAGAGCUUGCUCUUACGGGUGGCGAGUGGCGGACGGGUGAGGAAUAUAUCGGAAUCUACUUUUUCGUGGGGGUUAACGUAGGGAAACUUACGCUAAUACCGCAUACGACCUACGGGUGAAAGCAGGGGAUCUUCGGACCUUGCGCGAUUGAAUGAGCCGAUGUCGGAUUAGCUAGUUGGCGGGGUAAAGGCCCACCAAGGCGACGAUCCGUAGCUGGUCUGAGAGGAUGAUCAGCCACACUGGAACUGAGACACGGUCCAGACUCCUACGGGAGGCAGCAGUGGGGAAUAUUGGACAAUGGGCGCAAGCCUGAUCCAGCCAUACCGCGUGGGUGAAGAAGGCCUUCGGGUUGUAAAGCCCUUUUGUUGGGAAAGAAAAGCAGCAGGUUAAUACCCCGCUGUUCUGACGGUACCCAAAGAAUAAGCACCGGCUAACUUCGUG